This 433-nucleotide ribosomal RNA is filed under the name uncultured bacterium. RNAcentral's name for it is "partial 16S ribosomal RNA". It matches the Rfam family "Bacterial small subunit ribosomal RNA", at positions 29 to 507 of the family's 1533-position model. The record is from RNAcentral.
AGCGAACGCUGGCGGCAGGCCUAACACAUGCAAGUCGAACGAACUCUUCGGAGUUAGUGGCGGACGGGUGAGUAACACGUGGGAACGUGCCUUUAGGUUCGGAAUAACUCAGGGAAACUUGUGCUAAUACCGAAUGUGCUCUUCGGGGGAAAGAUUUAUCGCCUUUGGAGCGGCCCGCGUCUGCUUAGCUUGUUGGGGAGGUAAAGGCUCACCACGGCGACGAUCAGUAGCUGGUCUGAGAGGAUGAUCAGCCACAUUGGGCCUGAGACACGGCCCAAACUCUUGCGGGAGGCAGCAGUGGGGGAUCUUGCGCAAUGGGCGAAAGCCUGACGCAGCCAUGACGCGUGAAUGAUGAAGGUCUUAGGAUUGUAAAAUUCUUUCACCGGGGACGAUAAUGACGGUACCCGGAGAAGAAGCCCCGGCUAACUUCGUG